CCUACGGGAGGCAGCAGUGGGGGAUAUUGCACAAUGGGGGAAACCCUGAUGCAGCGACGCCGCGUGUGGGAAGACGGUCCUCUGGAUUGUAAACCACUGUCCCCAGGGACGAAGAUGAAGGUACCUGGGGCGGAAGCUCCGGCUAACUACGUGCCAGCAGCCGCGGUCAUACGUAGGGAGCAAGCGUUGUCCGGAAGUACUGGGUGUAAAGGGAGCGUAGGCGGGGUGGCAAGUUGGGUGUUACAUCUACCGGCUCAACUGGUAGUCGCACUCAAAACUGCUAUUCUUGAGUGAAGUAGAGGCAGGCGGAAUGCCUAGUGUAGCGGUGAAAUGCGUAGAUAUUAGGAGGAACACCAGUUGCGAAGGCGGCCUGCUGGGCUUUUACUGACGCUGAGGCUCGAAAGUGUGGGGAGCAAACAGGAUUAGAUACCCGGGUAGUC
RNAcentral lists this ribosomal RNA (440 nucleotides) under uncultured bacterium. Its description in RNAcentral is "partial 16S ribosomal RNA". It matches the Rfam family "Bacterial small subunit ribosomal RNA", at positions 338 to 795 of the family's 1533-position model. The record is from RNAcentral.